Molecule: long non-coding RNA, 13285 nt
Organism: Gallus gallus (chicken)
Lineage: Eukaryota; Metazoa; Chordata; Aves; Galliformes; Phasianidae
Source: Ensembl
CUCGGUUCUCCCUUACGAUCUGACCGAGAGCAUUUCGCUUUUAAGGCGAAACUGCUUCAGAAAACUCGGUGGAGACACGAGUUUCGCCGUUGCAAACAGAAAAGAAUAAACUGAUGCCGCCAGUCUCCGCUUAUAAACACGAUUCCAGCUCUAAGAAACAACACCUCAGUGAAAGCAGUCAAUGAAGGCUAUCUGACAUGAGGCCGUUUUGAGUCAGCUUGUAGGAUGUAGUAGCCACCGAGACGUCCCGCAGCACGUAACGGAAGAUGGGCUGAAAGCAAUCUAUAUGCGCUCCUUUGUCUCCCAUUCAGCAGACACAGAGGUUCAUACCGCAGGUCACGUGAAGCAGUUAUAUCACUGCAAUAACAUCCUUCCUGCACUAUAGAGACCACAUUCCUGGGAUCACUGAUCAUUAGCGGUAUUUGUUGUGUACUGGAACGAUCACUCCUUGAAUAAUGUGUGGCUUAAUAGUGCCGUGCAUUAACAGGAACAUCCUACACAUAAAUCAGCAGUGUUCCCUGGUGGACUCGGAAAGGUUUUCUCCCGCAUUAUUUUUUGUCGUGAUGACUGCGUGUGGUAUUCUCCUAGCUCAACUGUUCGAAAGGUUUUUAUUUGCUCAUGUGAAAAGAGCACUGGGUCUGGGAGAGGGCUGAUUCCUACAAGGGGUGUGAGAACUUGCAGUGAUUCCUAAAGCUGCCAGAGGCUGAAUUUGCUUCAUCUAUCUUACAAGUUUGUCCUGGAGCCACAUUCCCUAACCACAAAUGGCUCGUGCAGAGCCCUAGGAUGCAUACUUUGCAAAGGGAACGCCAUCCUGAUGGAAGUGGUGACAAACUAUGACAGUUUAUCCACUCUAAAAGCCAUAAAGAUUUAUGGAAUCUACAGAGCCAAAGAAUGAGGAAUAUCAUUCCAUUAGCAAUGCAACUGUUUGGAUGGCUUGUCUUAAUACACACUUUUAAUGCAGAAGAAAAAAAAAAAAAAGAAGAAGAAUUAGAUAAAUCCAGAUGGUCUCCCUGGCUUUCAGAAUCUUCCUCCUCCUAAGAAGAGUGCAGUACAAAAUGAGUUUAAAUAGACCAUCUGCAGAGUGCUGCACAUUUCAGUCCGUGAGAGUUCCCAGGCAACUCCUCUGGGGGAAACAGAACUAUAUGUAAAGACUCCAUUUUAGAUUGUGACUUAAAACUGCCCCUGUCAUCAAAUCAAAACAGAUACAUAACUAAAAUGUUAUGGGAAACAAAUACAGUAUCAUGCAAUAUCAAUACUAUAAGGCAAGGGUGCCAACAGAUACCAUGAAAUCAGCACAUAUCCUUCUUUUUUUCAAGACGGUAGGACCGAAGAUCAAACUAACAUCUUAGCGCCAACAGAAAAAUGCAACCGAGCAUUUCUACAAUGUUUCCUUCCCAUUACAAGUAACUUCCAGAGGUAAACGAAGCUAUCUAAUCUCCAUCUGGUUCUCUUCCCCUGAGAGGCUUCUGAUGCUUCUUUCCCAGUGUGGUUCUCUAGCUUUUCCAUUCUUUUAUUAUAUCUCAAAAGCUGAAUUCAGCUGGAGGGCAGGGCUGCUAUUCAGAGGGACCUCUGUGAUCUACAGUAACGAGCUGACACAAACCUCCCGGACCCCAAGAAAAGCAAGUGCAAGCUCUUGUAUCUGAAAGGAAUUGCCCAUCGCAACUAUGUACUCUGGAGGAUAUUCAUAAGCUCUCUGCUGAAAAGAAACUGGAGUUCUGAGUGGACAAGCAGCGUGUCACAGUGAAGAAAGCCAGUGGCAUCCUGGACUAUAUUAGCAAGAGGUCCAGGGGCCAGCAGAGCUACGGAAGUGAUCCUUCACCUCUAUCUGGCACUUGUGAGACUGCAUCUGUGAACUGUAUCCAGGAGUCAGUUCAAGAGGUCUCCAGGAUGGCUGAAGAACAUGAUGCAUAUGAUAGGGCUGAGAGAGGUGGACAUCUUCAGCUUGGAUGAGAGAAGGCAGAGGGGAGAUCUUGUUGCUGCCUGAUAACUACGUGCCCACAGGACAGGACUGGAAGAUGGAGCUGGCCUGUUCUCAGAGGUGCACAGUGAUAGCAACAGACACAAGUUGCAACAAGGAAAAUUCCAUAUCCAGAUAGAAGAGGAAAAAAUAGAAAAGAAUCUCUAAUCUUUGCAGUUUGUCUUCAGGAGAGCCUCAGAUACAAGAACAAACUUGAGAUGAGACUAUGAUGUUAAAAUCUGAUACCUGUGAAGACGUUGCUGGGAAGCUAAGAACAAAAAGGCUGAACUUCAAAUUGGCCUUCCCUCACCUCCAGAUGAUGAGGAGCCCAUCCUUCUUCCAGCUAAUAUUAAAAGCAUAGUUCAGUAUACUAGUUUGAUUGGCUAGAACUGUGAAACACCCAGACAGAUAGACUAGAAACAAAUCCACAUUAUAAGCAGAAAAAAAUCUACUUUAUAAGCAGCCCCCCUCCAUAUUUUUUUUUCUUUUAAUCCUAUCUAUUGCAAGUUGGGAUUCACGCUUUCUGGUGCAUCUUCCCAUCGUGAAACCUGUGCUCAUUUAGGGACAGGACUGUCCUUUGUUAGAUGUCUGCAAAAUGCUCACUGCAGAGACUUCCCUCAGGACUUUCAAAAUCCUUCUCAUACCCUUUCAUAUAGUAUCUAAUAAUAAGCAAGAGUCAAGACCACAAUUAUUCAGCAAAUUCCAUUGCUAUGGAAUCACGAUAUGCACAAGACCCUGAUAAUAUCUCUGUAUUUUGUACAUAACUUUGUUCCUAGACAACCGCACAUAGGGUCAAGUGCUUUGGGAGUUUAGAUCAUUUUGUUUCCUAUGCAUUAUCUAAGUGAGGAAUUGCAAGCAGGCACAGAGUGCCUCCUACAUUAUCAGGAAGCAUCUGGUAAUUUGACCUACAGUUGCAGAUGAAAUUCUCUCCUUUGAGAUUCAGAUGUAAAAGUCCUGCUUGUUCACAAUAUCUAAAACCUUAUUAUUAGGUCUACUCUUUACCAUCUUUCAAGAUGCUACUGAGCUUUUCCUUUUACAUUUUUUACACAUCUGUGUAAUCUCCACUCUUUCAAACCUAUUUAGCUGUACGGAUAAUUGCUCUGAAAGCAAUUAAUGAAAGUCACCUUUAUUUUGCACCAGACUUAAUAGUGGCCACAAAGAAGGACUCAUGUUACAGCAUAACACUGACUGACUUCCAGUUAAUCAUGAAAGCUCUCCUGAAGUUGCUGGUAAUACAUUCGAUUUCACAAACUAUUUCUUUGUCUUCUCUUAUUUUUUUGCCUAGAAAGCCCAUAACAGCAUUAACAUGUAGCAUCAUUGCUAUAGCUAAAAUAGCCUAAGGCUGUAAUCAGGGCAAGGAGGUCAUCACUUUCUGAUACAGGCCGCAAAACACAGUCUUGUUUGCAUAUUACAAAGCUUUUCUACAUAAGAAACUCUGUUGAAAGAUACAACCGUCUAAAAACUAGUGAAGGUGGCCCCAAAGCAAUGGUUUGCUCUAGAACCAGUCAAUAACAUUCUUUUACCUGUUUUUCUAAGUAUUUCUACAGCCUGGUCACAAGGCACUCCUGUCUUCCAAUGCAUGAGCACUGGGCUUAUUCAAACAUGCCCACUUCUUGGUCCUCUUGCUGUAUUAACUUAUUUUCAUAUCCUGUUCUCUGAAAGCAGGCACUGUGUUGCCUAUCUGACCAUCCUCUUCUCAAAACCCACUACAAUAGAAAUAUUAAUGAUUACUUUCCCUGGGCUAACCAAAAUCCUGGCAAAAGCACUCAGAACUUUUUGUGUCAGAAAAUUCUCUGGAGUACCCCUGGGUAAGGUUUUGAGGAGCCCAGCAUUUGGCACGUUCCUGGAAAAGAAAUGAGCAGUUUUGCAUUUGAUUUCCCAACAUCUCAUGAGUUAUUCCAAUGCAUCUAGCUUGUCAUUUCAUCAAUUCAAAUAUUCACCUUUAAGUUCCUAGAAAUUAUUUGUUUGGGAGAAAGCAGGACGUGCUCUGUGUCUAACAGGAACAGGCUGCCUUGUGGAACGUGCAUCGCUGUGAGUAAGAACCCUGGAACGAGAAGCUGAAUCUUUCCUCAAAAGCCUGAUGGAUUGCUUUCCUUUUGUUUUGGCUCAGGGAGGAUUCUGACACCAUUUGUUCAGCCCUCCACACAAUUGCUGAGCCCUGCAUUUCUGAGGAAAAAAAAAAAAUAUCCUGCAAUACAGAAAAAUAUGUCCCCUCACUUCGGAGGAGGCAGUAAUGGGACCAGCAGGUCGUAUAAAGAAAUACUGCAUUAUAAAAUGGUUGCUGCUCACAAUAUUUGAACCUGUAACUUGGAGAAUAUUAUUUCCUGUUCUUCCGUGAAAUUUGCAAAAGAAACACUCCCAGGACUGUAGGAUCAGGACCAGAUAAUUAGCACGUAAGCGUUUGGGAAAGUAUCAGUAAAAUGUUUUUCUCAAUGAACCCAUGACUUAAAUAGUCAGCAUAAAGGAGACGUCUGCAGCAUUUGCUCCCAACAGUCUCUUUCCUUACAGAACAGUAGUCUUCAUAGAAACUUAUCAGUUCACAGACCACUUUUAGAUAGGAUUGAUCUUCCCAGUGCUUUGUAGGCUGAGAUUGCAAUCUCGCUGAAAAAUAGUCAGGAAGCCACAGAAACAAUAAAAUCUUUGGAAGGAAAGCGAUAACCCAGAGCGGAUGGCAAGCUGAGUUAGUUCCUUGUGUCUGCUCCCCCUAAUUCAGGAGUUGACUCAAAUAUUUCUCCUGUUUCACAACUUGACUUCUCCUCCACUGCUGGCCAGCAGCCAGCAUUCCUGUCAGGCACAAGCAGUGGGUCAGAGCCCUUCCAUGGACAAAAAAGGUGCUGUGAAGAUAAAAUCUUAAGUGCUUUCUGGCCAAGAUCAGGCUGCUGCCAUCAUUUACUCAUUCCUUGUCUUUCAUGCCGUUGCAGCUGGGUUCGUACAUCUGAAAGAUGGGAGAUAGUAAUGUGUGAAGACUAAAUGAACUAUUCUAUACUGAAAACAAUAGGGAAGAAGCUCUGGGAGCAGAUACAGCAAAACUGACUGUGGAAAAACUACCUUAUGCAAAAGUGUAUGGAAUUCUCACGAUCCAAACCAUUUCAAUUUUUACAGCAGAUUUUUUUUCCUAAGCACUAGGAAGUGUUGCAAACAUUUUAUUCGCACUACUGCCACUGGAAGUAAGAAAGUAGUAUUAUUCUAAUAUUAUAUAUUGCAAUAUUGAGAAAGAGACUGUCAAGCUACAGAAGAACAGUGAGUUAGGACUGGGUACUCAGAAUAUCAAGGAAUCAGCUCUUGCCCACAGCUUAAAGUUACAUUUCCACUGAACUAGGACAUGCAGGACCUCAAAUAGACUCCAGGAACUGACCACCUCUGUAAAAACACACAAACAGAGUGAUCCCUGCCUGAUCGAUAGGGAAUUGAAGUUCAAAUAUAUUUUGUCACACAGGAAGUUUAUGGAAAAGGCAGGAACUGAACCAGAUGUUCGAAGGUCUGGCCCAGUGCCUUAAGCAUAAAAUAAUGCUUUUACCUCAUAAAAGUGCUCUAGACUAAAACCGAUUUCUCUCACCUUUUACAAUCUGUUUUAGUAAAGAGAAUAGAGAGAUAUCUAGAAGUAUGCUAUUAACCCAAAGACUACUCCGUGAUAAGAGAACAUCCUUUGAUGACUGUGGAAUGUUAUAAAGCUUUUACUUAAAACAUUUAACAAAAAAGAGAGAGAGAGAGAAAAGAAAGAAGUGUCUGUUUUGUGGAGACAAUUUCCAGACUUGGAUCUGCUUUCCUCUUUUCCCUCUCUAAACUUGUUUUUUUUUAAUAUACAUUUUUAACAAAAUUACUCAGGAUUGACCAACAGGGAUAGUACUGAAUAAGCUGGACAACAUAAGUCCUUUUUUAUCCACCAUUAAUUUUUUGUGAACACUUGGUAGGGAGAAUGCACGGCUCCAUUAUCUGCACAUCCCAAACUUCACAGGGAAGAUAUCCGUUUCAAAAACAUUUUCCCUUUACGGCAUGUAAAUAAAUCUGACCAGAGCUGCUGGGCAGAGAAAAACUCUUGUGCUGUCAUCUCUCUAUCCCUCUGGAUGCAACCUGGCCUUGAUAAUCAGCCUUGGCUCCUGUGGGAACAGAAAUGUGCUGACUAAAUGACUGUUCCUGUUAUCUGGGUCCCCUACUGUGCUGUGAGUUCUUUGCCUUAAUUUCAUUAACUGCCUUAAAGUUCAGUCGUGUGCAAAAUGUCUUUUUUUCUUCUUAUUACUCUUUUUUUCCUAUCAAAAUCUGCAUUAAGGUAAAUGCUAUUGCUUAAUGGCCAAAUCAGCGGGGUGAAGCAAACAAAGAGCUGCACUGCAGGUUCGUAUGUGAGUGAAUGCCAAUUCAAAUCUACUUAACUUCUGUAAAUUGAUUUGAAGGCAGCACCAGAUGUGCCACUAGAUUUCCAUUUAUUCCUCAUAGAAAGUCAAUGAAAUGCAUGUCAUCUGGAAAUUGUCCCAGGGAAGCAGAUGCAAUAUGUUUAUUGAGUCUUUGACUGAAGACCAAUUCUUGAAGUUUCAGAUUGGUGUUCAGGGUGCAAAGUGCCUCUCAGGAGACUUCCAGUAUAGUGGUAGGCCACAAUGCAAGUAGAAUCUGCUUUGUGUAAUAAAACAGAGAUUGAAAAGGUCUUCUGAGUAAUUCUGUGGAUGGAAAACUAAGAUCAAAUCAGAUAUUUAUACCAUAAUAUCCUUCUCUACCUAACUCAGAUGAGAGUACUUUGCUUCAGUGAUCAUCGUGGUAAUUCAGUUCAAUUUUCUUUUCUAUUCAAGAGUUCAUUUCCUGUGGCCAUUUUCUAAGAUCUCAGUAUUUACAGGAAACCAAACCCACUAACACAUCCCAGUUGGAGGGGGUUUCCACUGCUCAGAGAAAGGUACUGAGAGGUACAAAAGUUCAAACGUAGUCAGCUGCAGAUGAGCUCACCCUCACCAGUUCUCUGCAGCUGAUUAUAAUAAAAACAUCACCUCCCAUGUGACCAGCUCUCACCAUUGGAAAGCAAUAAUGUCAUCUCCAGUGGGAUCCUGGAUGAUAUACAACUAGUAUUAAAACACAGAUAUUUCUCCAGAUUUCCCCGCAGCCUGUAAUUUCCUUUAGUGGAAAGGACUGGCUGAUAGAGCACAGUUUAGAGAGGAUUAAGGGAUAAAUACUCUAUCAAUAUUAAAGAGCAAAAAGAAAAGAUGAUCACCUCAGUAACACAGAUUGCAGCUUGGCAGUCGGGGUAAACACAUGGGACUGCUUUGACAGUAAGAGUUGAUUUUUCUGUUUGUUUUGUUAUAUUUUGUAAAGGGAAGUAUACAGCGUUGAAUAAAAUCAGUUGCUAUUCGCAUUUACUCCUUCAAGCUAAAAGUGUUCUUUCAGGUUUGAUCAAAUAGUCCAUGGAAAGAUUAGCUUCAUGGGGCCUUUGAGCAAGUCAGUAAAGCAUUUAGACAGAAAAAGUGUAAUACAAGAAAUUUGUUUUUCCAUGCAAGACUGCUGUUUCCAAAAAAUAUCACAGACUUCUAAAUUUUGCUGUGCCUGAUGGCCUCAAGAAAGAGCAGAGACAUUCCUAUGAAAAGAAUAAAGGGGAGAAUACUUGCUGAGUAACUGUCUUUACUCAUUAAAGACGGGCAAUUACUUGCCUAAUAUUUAAUUUGCAGCAUUCUUUUCUUCCUUUCUGGAGAAAAAGGACCGUUGUAUUACGCAUGCCUGUCGUGAAAAAGGAGAUUACUCACAAACAAAGGAAUUCAGAUAUCCUGAGGAGCAUCAGAUAAGCAUUACAAUAUGCCCCAGAGUUUGCUUGAGACAACAUAGCUAUGGGGAGGCUAUAUAAUUUCUAGACACUCCUCUCAGCUAGUUUCCAUUACUGAGCAGGGAGGUGUGUAGUAAAAAAAAUGCAAUGUCGCUCCUCAUGGUUUUAGGAACUUAUCUCCCAUCUCUCUGUGUAGACAAUAUUUACGUGAACCCAAGGAAAGAAAUAUCCACCCAACCAAAGUGUCUCUGGAAAGACAGAAUGCAAUAAAUACUGUCGGUAAAUAUUCUUACUGGGACGUAUUCUUUUUCUACAGGGAAAACAGAUCUUCAAAAUAAAAGACACUGUUAUUUUGACAGAAUAAAUGGAACUGCUAGCAUUGCAGACUGACUAAUCAGUGCUUUGGAAAUUGCUGAAUAAGUAUGGCUUUAUCUUCACAAAAGCCAAACAGACCUAAGAAUGUGUAUUAACUGCUGACAGUUUCAAUAACUUAUCUGAAACCAUUUAUAGCUCUUCCCAGUCUUCAUUAUUUCUCUGAAGAGAGAUUGCUGGACUAAGUGGGCCUGAGAAGAUGCAUAAUUUGUAGUGUACCAUCUGUCUUCUUUUCUUAGGGCUACUUUCAAGAGGCUUCAGAAAGCGCAAAAUGGGCCUACACUUGAUAAAGCCCAAAAUGUUGGGUGGGGAGGGUCAUUUGAAAAUCAAAAGUCCUCAAGGACUUUUAGGUAGGUAUGUUAGUGCUGUAAUGCUGAGGCAACACUACCAGAGUGCUUUAAUGAUGCAGUGAUGCACAGGAUUCUGACAAUUAGUCAUUAUUGGUAACAGCCUGAAAGACGAGUCAGAGAAACCAAGGUUUGUCAGCCACAGGGUCACAGAACUGCAGGGGUUGGAACAGACCUCUAGAGAUCAUCAAGUCCAACUGCCCUGUUAAAGUAGGUUCCUUACAGCAGGUCACCCAGGUAGUUAUCAAGGCAGGUUUUGAAUAUCUCCAGAAAAGGAGACUCCACAACCUUUCUGGGCAGUUCUUGUUGAACCUCAUCAGGUUCCUCCCUGCCCAGUCUGCUCUCCAGUCUGUCCAGGUCUUGAAUGGCAGCACAGCCUUCUGGUGUGUCAGCCACUCCUCCCAGCUUUGUACCAUCAGCAAACUUGCUGAGGGUGGAUUCUAUCCCUUCAUCCAGGUCAUUAAUGAAGAUGCUGAACAAGACCAGACCCAACACCAACCUCUGGGAAACACCACUAGUUACAGACACUUCUCAGUCCACCCCAUUAUCCACUCUUCCAGGCUCUUCUCGGUGGUGUGUAGAGAUAGGAUAAUGAGUAAUGGCCUAAAACUUGAACAUAGGAAGUUCCGUACUAACGUGCAGAACUUCUUUAUGAUAAGGGUGAUGGAGUGCUGGAACAGGUUGCCUAGAGAGAAUGUGGAGUCUCCGUCUAUGGAAAUAUUCAAGGCCUGUCUGGAUGCCUGCCUAUGUGACCUAUUGUAGGGUACCUGCUUUAGCAGGGGGGUUUGACUCAAUGAUCUCUUGAGGUCCGUUCCAACCCCUACGAUUCUGUGAUUCUGUGAAACCUUGUUUAUUUGUACACAAGGUGACCAACUCACUAAACUAUGUAUUCUGCGGUAAAUAGUCAUGAAUUUAGAUUUUAUAUAAUUCCUAAUUUAUUCUCUGGCACUUUUUAGAAGAAAAAUAGCCAGCAUGUAUGUACACAAACAAUUUGGUAUGGUUUCCAAAAAGGUUUGGCUUUGGUCUAACUUACGCUGCCUGAAAACCCCACCUGUCAUGAAUUAUGUUUGUUCUUUCCUGCUUAUGAAAGAGGUACGUAGGCUGAGGAAGAAGAAAGCUAACAAAAACUGUGUGGAGGUACGGUGAUGUAGAUUGGAGCGUAGAAGUUAAAAUGACAUACUUCUUAGCAAAAAAAAAUUACUAGGAAGAGUUUCUCAUUUGACACACUUCUCUUUUAUGUUCUUAUGUAUGGCUAUCUGCUAAAGCAGCAGUGCUAAAGCUUCUAAACCAGGAAAGCUAUCCCAUCCAUAACUAGGUGUUGACUUGGCUAGGUGUUGACUACAGUGCUGAAUUUCUGGGUAUGAAAAACUGGGAGUAGACUUUUUCAGACAGCAAGAAUGAUUUGACAAUCAUUCCAUUAAAGCAGUCCAACUCGGAAAAGAUUUUGUCACUCAUUCCUCUAAAAAAGUCCCCAGACUUAACCAAAUAGGAUUCAUGCAAGAUAGUACUACCCAGGUUAUAUAAAAAGGAAAACUUAAAUAAUUUUGUGCAUCAUUUUUUCUGCAGAUUCUUAGCUCUUGGUUUGCACUGAGUUAGCAAGUGUCAGAGUACAGCAAAGGCCAGCUGUUCCCUAAGGGUAAGGGAGCUUUUGAGGGGCCAAGCAUGAAAAGAAGGACAGUAGGGCAGAGGCCCUAUUACCGGACAGAAUCCAGACCCAUGGUAGUCAAGCAAGAAGAGCAGAGCCAGACUGGAGAUAGCAGUCAGGGUCAGCCCAGAAUCCACAUCAUACAUGGUAAUGCAGCACAUCUGAGGAACACAAGUCAGAAUCAGUGCAAAAGCUGAAAUAAUGAGGUGUACAGAGCAAUUUACAAAGACUGCAGUAAGCAAGCUCUGCUGGAGAAUCCUUAGAUAGAAAGGAAGCACUAGUAACCUCCUGUGAUUAUCCUCUAUGAACGUAACACAGAAUCUGCAGCACAUCGCCUUUACACUAUUACCUCUCCCUGCCUGCACAGGUCAUGUUUGUUUAAGGCAAGAUAAAAUAUCUUCUAGGACAAGGGCCUCACUGCUUCCUUUCUUCAAUUCUGAUCUUGGUCAGCCCAUGGAAAAGCAACAUUAAAGUAAAAAGCACACUGCAGGCAACCCACCAUGUCCAUCUGCAUAUCAGUUUCACAUUCAAUUUCUGUACUGCUAAUGCCUUUGAGAAAUGUUAGAAGUACCCUGGAAGGAAGAAAACAGGCAAAGCAGCAGCUUCAUAAAUAGGGUGAUCAUUAGAGAGUUCUGCUAGCAAUAAGACGUAUGCUUAAAUUUUAUUUCAGUGAAAAACAUUCGUAAUCAGACAAGGCAUUCCGCUUGACAAAGGUAGGGAGGAAUCUCCCGUUGGAUUUAGCUGUUGGGUCGAGAAAGGAGGAAAAAAAUAGGAGCAACUUCUGCAAUUGAAUCAAUGGGUAGGACAGUGCUGCUCUCUACUGGUGAGGAACACACAUUGCUCUAGCAGUACACUCGUGCCUGGGCAUACAUGGAGGCAAUGCUUGAAAAGGUAUGUGAGCUAUUUUAACAACUUUAAAUAAAAGCUGUAAUACCUAUACAAAUUUAUAUCUUGUCACUGUUAAAAUUAAGCACUUUUUAAACUGAGGGUCUAAAGGCUUAGUUCCUUCUUCUGACGUUGUUGCUUCAAAGUAAAUCCAGCAGUUUAAUGCAAACGUGGUGCCAUUGUUCUAUGGUCAAAAAGAAAUAUUUCCAACUGAUAUUUUCUUCUUUCUUACCUUCUUUUUUAUAGGAAAAAAAUCAUGGAUUUUCACUGAAAUGGGAAUUUGAACUGUCUAAAUAAUAGCUUCAAAUUUAGAGGGCGUUUGAGAAUCAGUUCCAAGGGUUUACCCUAGGAGUUAAAAAAAUACUAUCUGCUCGGAAAACAAGUAAACACAAAAGUGGUGCUCUAUUGAUAGAAUAACACGGGUACUUUCACAUAUUUGAAGAUGGGUAUUCACAAAGAACUCAUAGUUUCAGAUCCUAGAGGUUCAGUCUCACUGAAGCUGAAGAUAAGAAGUUAAACACAAUACCCAGAAUUUAAUCGUAGAUAAAAUACUAACUGAGUUUGUGACACACAGACACAAGGCUGAAUGAAAUGGUUGGCAAUGGUUUGGAUGUGGUAACUUUUGCAGGCUGGAUCAGAGAGGAUUCUUGGAAAGACUCUCUCAGGAUUCUCCCCGUGUACUUCUCCAUCUGGAUGAUAAUGAGACUCCAGAAUGGAUUUUGACUGCCAAGAGAGCAUGGCACUCUCCCUUACUGCAGGAGAGAUUCCAUUUUGACUGGAGGUGCUCAUGGUUUUAUCAUCUGGUUCUCUUUAGGCAUACUCAGACCUUAACACACCAACUUGCCUCAUCACACCCACAUGAUACAUGCCUAUGACAGCUGUCCUAAGCAUCAUCAGCAGCAUUCCCUGUGGCCUUUUCUCACAGUACUUUCACUUAGAAGUCUCACUACAAAACACUGUCCACCUUAAGUAAAACAGAACAACAAAGCACUGAAAUGUCUAGUCAAGCAAACAGCCCUUCCUUGUGUAAAAUCACUGAACGUGGCAAAAUAUUAAGAUACACCAAUUUGCUCAUUUUCUUUUGUUCUAUGUCUCUCCUUUGCCUGGGGGACUGUUAGUUACAGACACGGUUCGCAUGUGGUCUAUAGGUACUCUCGUCUUGCAAAUUGUUAUCAGUGUGCAGGUUAUUCUGAAAUAAUCGAGCCACAUCUUGAAGUCUUCCCCUUCUCUCAGGGCUGGUGUAGGCAGAUUCUGUUCCAGCAGGCAGCAGGCAACCUGUUGGACAGUACUUAUUUGAGCAGGACAGUUGCAUCAGUCUUCCAGGAAAGGCUGACACUGCUUUUUCCACAGGCAUGGAUUGUCUUUGUGUGGUCCUUCCCCUCACUCCACUCCAGUAACUGAAUGAACAGAGGAGCACCAAUCCUAAUGAUGUUUGCUGAGCCCAGCACGGUCACCCAGCUAAGGGCCUCUGUGCAGGAAGCUGUGUUACUUGCCAGCCUCAGGAAGGAUUCACGGCGAUUAUGAGUGAAUCUCAGCCUCUUCUCUGGUAGUCAUGGCAGUGUACUCAGGCUGAUGAGAAACUGUAAGACUCCAAGAAAGAGUUGCCCCACCAAGACACCGUUACUUGUUCCAUCUUCAACACAAGCCUUUACAGAACUGAGAUGAAGACUGACAUAAGAUUAAUUACUUUCAACUCAGAUUUGGAGAAAUGUUAUGGUACAAGUCCUGUUCAGCUGGGCUGGGGAUUGGAGCUGGCAAAAGACAUUGUACUUACAUCUGGUUAUUUUUGGAGAGAGGUAGGUGUUAACAGAGGUCUGAUGAAGGAAAGUGAUAAUAUUUUAAUGAUACCUUUAUGGAUUAUUUAUGAGACAGAAUAAAAUUAUUUGCUGUAAAUAAUAGAAAGCAGACAAGAAAUUGCAGUUUUGAACUGCUUUUGAGAAUGGUAAAUUGAAACCAAAUACUAAAUAAAAUAAUGAUAGUUGUGUUAUAAUAAAUGCUUUGAUUAGCUCUCAUUUUUUAUUUUAUUUCCACUGUCAUGUUUCCCAGAAUGACUUUUUCUCCCCUACUUUUCAGUUUGACUACCUAGGCUAAAACUUCUGCUCAUAGUGCUGUAUGUCUUUGCCAUAUCUAGUUUAACUUUAUGCAUGCAGGAAGAUAGAAAUACAAGAGUUAAAGAGAAAAGUAGUCAUCCAUCGUAUUAGUGAAAAAGUAAAGAUUUCAGCUAUUUUCUGUCUUCCCACAGCACAAUACAGGGUAGCACAUGAAGCAUGUUAAACAGGACACCGCAUAAGGUUCCACCAUUCACCCCUGUUGCUUUCCUUGUUUUGCAAAUAAAUGCAAAGUUU